GUAAAUAUAGUUUAAUAAAAACCCUAGAUUGUGAAUCUAGUAAUAGGGUCUAAACCCCCUUAUUUACC
RNAcentral lists this transfer RNA (68 nucleotides) under Saccopteryx leptura (lesser sac-winged bat). Its description in RNAcentral is "tRNA-His". It matches the Rfam family "tRNA". Rfam says of the family: Transfer RNA (tRNA) molecules are approximately 80 nucleotides in length. Their secondary structure includes four short double-helical elements and three loops (D, anti-codon, and T loops). Further hydrogen bonds mediate the characteristic L-shaped molecular structure. tRNAs have two regions of fundamental functional importance: the anti-codon, which is responsible for specific mRNA codon recognition, and the 3' end, to which the tRNAs corresponding amino acid is attached (by aminoacyl-tRNA synthetases). tRNAs cope with the degeneracy of the genetic code in two manners: having more than one tRNA (with a specific anti-codon) for a particular amino acid; and 'wobble' base-pairing, i.e. permitting non-standard base-pairing at the 3rd anti-codon position. The record is from RNAcentral. Lineage: Eukaryota; Metazoa; Chordata; Mammalia; Chiroptera; Emballonuridae.